AAUUCAGUAACAAUAAUAAAUAAUAAAAAGCAAAUCAUGAGAUAGAGAUAAGCACAAGUUAGUGUGUUAGUAUGGUUGUUCUUAAAUUAGUAUUGUAUAAGCAUUUAGUUGGUAGCUCUUCACAAGUUAAAAGAAAGCACACAGUCAGAAGUCUGUGAAAAAGUUUGCAGCAAGACAGAAAAUAGGCAGGGCUUAUUUGGAAUUUUUGUAAACAUUUGAGGUCAGACUUUUAAUGGGGUUAAUCUCGAUGACGGAAUCUUAUUGCUGACUUGAUGUUCUAGAG
Molecule: long non-coding RNA, 283 nt
Filed under: Elaeis guineensis (African oil palm)
Lineage: Eukaryota; Viridiplantae; Streptophyta; Magnoliopsida; Arecales; Arecaceae
Description: long non-coding RNA (EGUI_LNC021161)
Source: RNAcentral